RNAcentral lists this ribosomal RNA (478 nucleotides) under uncultured bacterium. Its description in RNAcentral is "bacterial SSU rRNA". It matches the Rfam family "Bacterial small subunit ribosomal RNA", at positions 29 to 506 of the family's 1533-position model. The record is from RNAcentral.
AUGAACGCUAGCGGGAGGCUUAACACAUGCAAGUCGAGCGGGAUCCCCGGGCAACCGGGGUGAGAGCGGCGCACGGGUGCGUAACGCGUAUGCAACCUUCCUUGUGCAGGUGGAUAGCCCAUGGAAACGUGGAUUAAUACCCCGUAAGGCGCGGGCCCGGCAUCGGGCCUGUGCGAUAGCCCCGGCGGCACAAGGUGGGCAUGCGUCCGAUUAGCUAGAUGGUGCGGCAACGGCGCACCAUGGCGACGAUCGGUAGGGGUCCUGAGAGGGUUACCCCCCACACUGGCACUGAGACACGGGCCAGACUCCUACGGGAGGCAGCAGUGAGGAAUAUUGGUCAAUGGGGGCAACCCUGAACCAGCCAUCCCGCGUGCAGGAUGACGGCCCUAUGGGUUGUAAACUGCUUUUCCGGGGGAAGAACCCCCCGCACGGGUGCGGGGCUGCCGGUACCCCGGGAAUAAGCAUCUGCUAACUCCGU